CAAUAAUAAGUGAGUGGCGACCGGCGCGACGGUGAGUACACGUAUCCAACCUGCCGAUAACUCGGGGAUAGCCUUUCGAAAGAAAGAUUAAUACCCGAUGGUAUAAUAAAACCGCAUGGUUUAAUUAUUAAAGAAUUUCGGUUAUCGAUGGGGAUGCGUUCCAUUAGGCAGUUGGUGAGGUAACGGCUCACCAAACCUUCGAUGGAUAGGGGUUCUGAGAGGAAGGUCCCCCACAUUGGAACUGAGACACGGUCCAA
RNAcentral lists this ribosomal RNA (257 nucleotides) under uncultured bacterium. RNAcentral's name for it is "partial 16S ribosomal RNA". It matches the Rfam family "Bacterial small subunit ribosomal RNA", at positions 75 to 334 of the family's 1533-position model. The record is from RNAcentral.